RNAcentral lists this ribosomal RNA (253 nucleotides) under uncultured bacterium. RNAcentral describes it as "partial 16S ribosomal RNA". It matches the Rfam family "Bacterial small subunit ribosomal RNA", at positions 524 to 776 of the family's 1533-position model. The record is from RNAcentral.
UACGUAGGGAGCAAGCGUUGUCCGGAAUCAUUGGGCGUAAAGCGCACGUAGGCGGCCCUGUAAGUCCGCUGUGAAAGUCAAAGGCUCAACCUUUGAAAGCCGGUGGAUACUGCAGGGCUAGAGUCCGGAAGAGGCGAGUGGAAUUCCUGGUGUAGCGGUGGAAUGCGCAGAUAUCAGGAGGAACACCAAUAGCGAAGGCAGCUCGCUGGGACGGUACUGACGCUAAGGCGCGAAAGCGUGGGGAGCGAACAGG